AUAGCGAACCAGUACCGUGAGGGAAAGGUGAAAAGAACCGCGGGAGCGGAGUGAAAGAGAACCUGAAACCGUGCGCUUACAAGAAGUCAGAGCCCUUUUGAUGGGUGAUGGCGUGCCUUUUGUAGAAUGAACCGGCGAGUUGCGUUUGCGUGCGAGGUUAAGGCUUUGAGGCCGGAGCCGUAGCGAAAGCGAGUCUGAAGAGGGCGAUUUAGUACGCAGGCGCAGACCCGAAACCGUGUGAUCUACCCCUGUCCAGGGUGAAGGCAGGGUAAAACCUGCUGGAGGCCCGAACCGGUAGGCGUUGAAAAGUCUUCGGAUGAGGCGGGGGUAGGGGUGAAAUGCCAAUCGAACACGGAGAUAGCUGGUUCUCCCCGAAAUAGCUUUAGGGCUAGCCUCGGGUGAAGGCUUUGCGGAGGUAGAGCACUGAAAGGAUGCGGGGCCCGCAAGGGUUACCAAGUUCUAUCAAACUCCGAAUGCCGUAAAAGCUUAUGCCCGGGAGUCAGACGGUAAGCAGCCAUCAUUCAAAGAGUGCGUAAUAGCUCACUGGUCGAGUGGCGCUGCGCCGAAAAUUCAACGGGGCUAAACACACCACCGAAGCCAUGGCUUGCACCUUUGGGUGCAGGGGUAGGGGAGCGUUGCAUGCGGGUUGAAGCCGUACCGGAAGGAGCGGUGGACGGCAUGCACUAAGGCGAGGCCGAAAGGCGUAGUCGAAAGGGCAACAGGUUGAAAUUCCUGUACCACCCGUGCGGCGUCAUGAGCGAUGGGGGGACGCAGGAGGGCAGAGACGCAGGCGGAUGGAAGAGCCUGUCCAAGCAGCAAGAGGGGUGCACAGGCAAAUCCGUGCACCGGUAACCUUGAGCUGUGACGGGGAGGGGAAACUGAAGUACCCGAAGGUCUUGUGCUCCCACUGCCGAGAAAAGCCUCUAGCCAGCCGCAGGGUGCCCGUACCGGAAACCGACACAGGCAGGCGGGAAGAAGAUUCCAAGGCGCGCGGAAGAACUCUCGUCAAGGAACUCGGCAAAAUGGCCCCGUAACUUCGGGAAGGCCCAAGCGACUGUUUAGCAAAAACACAGGUCUGUGCGAAGCCGCAAGGCGAAGUAUACGGGCUGACGCCUGCCCGGUGCUGGAAGGUUAAGGGGAGAGGUUAGCCGCAAGGCGAAGCUUUGAACCGAAGCCCCAGUAAACGGCGGCCGUAACUAUAACGGUCCUAAGGUAGCGAAAUUCCUUGUCAGGUAAAUUCUGACCCGCACGAAUGGCGUAACGACUUGGGCGCUGUCUCGACGAGAGAUCCGGUGAAAUUUUAGUACCUGUGAAGAUGCAGGUUACCCGCGACAAGACGGAAAGACCCCAUGGAGCUUUACUGCAGCUUGAUAUUGAACUGGGGUGGAGCUUGUACAGGAUAGGUGGGAGCCUGAGAAGCCGGUGCGCCAGCAUCGGUGGAGGCGACGUUGGGAUACCACCCUGGCUGUACUCGAGUUCUAACCCGGCGCCCUGAAUCGGGUGCGGGGACCGUGUCAGGCAGGCAGUUUGACUGGGGCGGUCGCCUCCCAAAAGGUAACGGAGGCGCCCCAAGGUUCCCUCAGAAUGGUUGGAAAUCAUUCGGAGAGUGCAAAGGCAGAAGGGAGCUUGACUGCGAGACGGACAGGUCGAGCAGGGACGAAAGUCGGGCUUAGUGAUCCGGUGGUUCCGGAUGGAAGGGCCAUCGCUCAACGGAUAAAAGCUACCCUGGGGAUAACAGGCUUAUCUCCCCCAAGAGUCCACAUCGACGGGGAGGUUUGGCACCUCGAUG
RNAcentral lists this ribosomal RNA (1789 nucleotides) under Candidatus Reconcilbacillus cellulovorans. RNAcentral's name for it is "bacterial LSU rRNA". It matches the Rfam family "Bacterial large subunit ribosomal RNA", at positions 487 to 2531 of the family's 2925-position model. Lineage: Bacteria; Bacillati; Bacillota; Bacilli; Caryophanales; Paenibacillaceae. The record is from RNAcentral.